GUGGGGAAUUUUGGACAAUGGGCGCAAGCCUGAUCCAGCAAUGCCGCGUGCAGGAAGAAGGCCUUCGGGUUGUAAACUGCUUUUGUACGGAACGAAAAGGCUCUGGUUAAUACCUGGGGCUCAUGACGGUACCGUAAGAAUAAGCACCGGCUAACUACGUGCCAGCAGCCGCGGUAAUACGUAGGGUGCAAGCGUUAAUCGGAAUUACUGGGCGUAAAGCGUGCGCAGGCGGUUUUGUAAGACAGACGUGAAAUCCCCGGGCUCAACCUGGGAAGGGCGUUUGUGACUGCAAAGCUGGAGUGCGGCAGAGGGGGAUGGAAUUCCGAGUGUAGCAGUGAAAUGCGUAGAUAUGCGGAGGAACACCGAUGGCGAAGGCAAUCCCCUGGGCCUGCACUGACGCUCAUGCACGAAAGCGUGGGGAGCAAACAGGAUUAGAAACCCUGGUAGUCC
Molecule: ribosomal RNA, 450 nt
Filed under: uncultured bacterium
Lineage: Bacteria
Description: partial 16S ribosomal RNA
Rfam family: Bacterial small subunit ribosomal RNA
Source: RNAcentral